AUGGAUGAGGCCGGCAAUAGGCGACGCCGUUCCUUCCAAUAUCGAGGAUUUGGGGGUUGCGCAGGUUUGGAGCAGCCAACCAUGGAUUCGCUGUUUGAGUUAUCUCUGCAGCGCAUCGGGGCUGGAUAUCCUCGGCACCAGCGCACCGCCAACAUCCCUAGUGUUAAAAUCUCUAUUCUUUGUUUGAAGGUUCUUCUGCUUGGCUCAUUUCCUAUUUUUGUGCUUCAAAUGCAGAGUGUUCCUGUUCAAGAUGGACAAACACCUCCACUGAACAAGAAGAACCUUUUGGAAAAUUGGUUGGCGGAAGACAAGUUGGAGUGCAGUGAAGAGCUUGGAGAUCUUGUAAAGAUGGUAGACAAUGAUCUGGCGUUAAAAAUAUACAUAAAGGCUAUGGCAACCCCUAAAGUCGUCACCGCUUUCGCUGAGAGGAGGGACUUUGACAAGAUCCUUAUAUACUCAAAGCAGGCACUCGUUGAGUUCUUUGGAACCCUUUCUAAAGAAUGGGCAUUAGAAUGCAUGAAGGACCUUCUACUGGUCAACCUGAGAGGAAAUCUUCAAAUUGUUGUGCAGAUUACUCACUAUCUGUACACAAACAAUAUGCUCCGGUAUCUCUGUAACUCUCAUAAAUUUACAGAAGGUGAACCCUGGAAAUGCUCCGUUGGUAGUGGGGCAGUUACUUGA
Molecule: ribosomal RNA, 681 nt
Filed under: Triticum aestivum (bread wheat)
Lineage: Eukaryota; Viridiplantae; Streptophyta; Magnoliopsida; Poales; Poaceae
Description: partial small subunit ribosomal RNA
Source: RNAcentral